AGAGUUUGAUCCUGGCUCAGAUUGAACGCUGGCGGCAUGCCUAACACAUGCAAGUCGAACGGGUCCUUCGGGACUAGUGGCGGACGGGUGAGUAACGCGUGGGAACGUGCCCUUUGGUUCGGAAUAGCCCCGGGAAACUGGGAGUAAUACCGGAUAAGCCCUUAGGGGGAAAGAUUUAUCGCCAAAGGAUCGGCCCGCGUUGGAUUAGGUAGUUGGUGGGGUAAUGGCCUACCAAGCCGACGAUCCAUAGCUGGUUUGAGAGGAUGAUCAGCCACACUGGGACUGAGACACGGCCCAGACUCCUACGGGAGGCAGCAGUGGGGAAUCUUAGACAAUGGGGGAAACCCUGAUCUAGCCAUGCCGCGUGAUCGAUGAAGGCCUUAGGGUUGUAAAGAUCUUUCAGUUGGGAAGAUAAUGACGGUACCAACAGAGAG
This 434-nucleotide ribosomal RNA is filed under the name uncultured bacterium. RNAcentral's name for it is "bacterial SSU rRNA". It matches the Rfam family "Bacterial small subunit ribosomal RNA", at positions 8 to 488 of the family's 1533-position model. The record is from RNAcentral.